This 70-nucleotide transfer RNA is filed under the name Scleropages formosus (Asian bonytongue). RNAcentral's name for it is "tRNA-Arg". It matches the Rfam family "tRNA". Rfam says of the family: Transfer RNA (tRNA) molecules are approximately 80 nucleotides in length. Their secondary structure includes four short double-helical elements and three loops (D, anti-codon, and T loops). Lineage: Eukaryota; Metazoa; Chordata; Actinopteri; Osteoglossiformes; Osteoglossidae. The record is from RNAcentral.
AGACAGUUAGUCCAAAGUAAGACCUCUGAUUUCGGCUCAGAAAACUGUGGUUCAAACCCACAACUGCCUU